CGGCGAAUUAUUGAAAGGAAUAGAAGAGGGACGAGAAGACUUGCCACGAUUAUCUGAACGUGGGACGACUGGCUGCACCCAAGUCUAAGGGGGGCUGAGAUGGACAACAGCCUCAGCAACUGGGACCUUCUCCUGUUCUCCUGGUUUGACACCUGUGGAGCUGCCUGGACCAUGCCAAGGCUGUAAGGCAGAUGUGCACGGCUGCUGAGCAGACUGGGAGGCCUGGGAGUGGGCAGGCACACAAGCUUGUUCCUUUUAGAUGAAGAUGGACACGAGGCAGCUCAGAUGUGCAGAGCCAUCCCUUGCCAGCGAAGACUUUGUCCUUCCUCAAUGUCUGGG
Long non-coding RNA from Calidris pugnax (ruff), 339 nucleotides. RefSeq lists it as uncharacterized. The transcript is spliced from 3 exons. Lineage: Eukaryota; Metazoa; Chordata; Aves; Charadriiformes; Scolopacidae. The record is from RefSeq and is a predicted model, not a curated record.